Molecule: ribosomal RNA, 266 nt
Filed under: uncultured bacterium
Lineage: Bacteria
Description: partial 16S ribosomal RNA
Rfam family: Bacterial small subunit ribosomal RNA
Source: RNAcentral
CGGUACAACGAGUCGCAAGACCGCGAGGUUUAGCAAAUCUCUUAAAGCCGUUCUCAGUUCGGAUUGUAGGCUGCAACUCGCCUACAUGAAGUCGGAAUCGCUAGUAAUCGCGGAUCAGCAUGCCGCGGUGAAUACGUUCCCGGGCCUUGUACACACCGCCCGUCACACCAUGAGAGUUUGUAACACCCAAAGCCGGUGGGGUAACCUUUUGGAGCCAGCCGUCUAAGGUGGGACAGAUGAUUGGGGUGAAGUCGUAACAAGGUAUC